RNAcentral lists this long non-coding RNA (1098 nucleotides) under Homo sapiens (human). Its description in RNAcentral is "novel transcript". The record is from RNAcentral. Lineage: Eukaryota; Metazoa; Chordata; Mammalia; Primates; Hominidae.
ACACCUGCUGGUCUCACCGCUAGGGCCUGGGCAUCACAGGCAGGGGGAAUGGGGAGGGGACGGUAGCGUCAGCCUACACCCACACGCAGUUUCCUGAUAAAAGGUCCUUUGGAAACUUUGAUUCUCUUCUCACCAAGUUGAACGGAGAUGUGUUCCCAUAGUAAGAGUGAGGCCCCUGCAUUUGCUGCCCUCGGUUUUCCCAACUAACACCAGGGCCUCCCCCCUGUACCCCAUUCAUAUGCCUCAGAAGCUGACAAUGACUGUUGGGCUUUUCCAAUGAAUACCAGAACACCAUUUCCUGCAGCCUGAAAAGAAGACAGUAUAAUUGUUUGGCAGCAAGAGAAUCCAGGUGCCCUUCCAUGAGAAGCCCAAGCCAUGUGGAGAAGCCACGUCUAGGGACUCCAGUUAACACUCUCAGCUGAGUCCCCAGCUGACAGUCAGCAUCAACUGCCAGCCACCUCUGUCUAAAAGUGGGCUAUCUUGGGCAUCCAGCCCAGUCAAGCCUUCAGAUGAGUCCAGUCCCAGCCACUAUCUCACACAACCACACGAGAGACAUCAAGAACUCCCAGUGGAGUCCAGUCAGCCCAUGGAACUGCAAGAGACAGGAUCUCGCUGCGUUGCUCAGACUGGUCUCGAACUCCUGGGCUUAAGGGAUUCUCCUGCCUCAAUCACAGCCUCCCAAGUAGCUGAGAUUAAAAGUGCUCACCACCGUGCCAGCGAGUUCAGUUUUUGAGCAAACUUGAUGCAAACACAACUUGAAAAAGAAGAGGACAGCCAAGUCAUCCCAGCCAAGGCCACCCUGGACCAGCCAGCCUCUUGCCAAGCUGCCAGUGACCACAGAGUCCAAUUAACAACAGCCAGUCCUGGCCCAGGGUGGAGCCAAGACUCUGAGGAGAGGGCUGAACUGUGAACCUAGAAGUACCAUCUCCCCCUGCACACACCUUUGGUCAAGUUGACCCCAAGAAGAAGGACAAGUCCUCUGCACGGCGAUGAGGCCAUACACACAGUCUGUGGCCCGGCUUUGGGAGACUGAUGGGACAAAGGAUGUUUUGCACGAUCCUUGGUCUCUGAGCAAAUAUAUACAUGGGUUAACACAAA